ACGGCUCAGUAACACGUAAGCAAUCUGCCCUGUAAUCGGGAACAACCGGGCCAACGCCCGGCUAAUGCCGGAUAUCGUGGCGAGUCCCCUGACUCGUUGACGAAAGAUUUAUCGUUACAGGAUGAGCUUGCGUCUGAUUAGCUAGUUGGCGGGGUAAAGGCCCACCAAGGCGACGAUCAGUAGCCGGCCUGAGAGGGUGAUCGGCCACAUUGGGACUGAGAUACGGCCCAGACUCCUACGGGAGGCAGCAGUAGGGAAUAUUGCGCAAUGGGGGAAACCCUGACGCAGCAACUCCACGUGUGGGAUGAAGCAUUUCGGUGUGUAAACCACUGUCGAGAGGGAAUAAUGUUUCGCUUCGGCGGAAUUGAAUGUACCUCUAAAGGAAGCACCGGCAAACUUCGUGCCAGCAGCCGCCGGUAAUAC
RNAcentral lists this ribosomal RNA (423 nucleotides) under uncultured bacterium. RNAcentral describes it as "bacterial SSU rRNA". It matches the Rfam family "Bacterial small subunit ribosomal RNA", at positions 102 to 526 of the family's 1533-position model. The record is from RNAcentral.